RNAcentral lists this unclassified non-coding RNA (448 nucleotides) under Hevea brasiliensis (rubber tree). The record is from RNAcentral. Lineage: Eukaryota; Viridiplantae; Streptophyta; Magnoliopsida; Malpighiales; Euphorbiaceae.
AAGGACUAUUACACAGGGGAACCUCGUGGGUUUGCAUUUGUGCAGUUUUUGGAUUCAUAUGAUGCCAUGGAAGCUCAGCGUCGCAUGAAUGGACAAAUUUUUGCUGGGAGAGAAAUAUCAGUGGUGGUAGCAGCAGAGACGAGGAAAAGGCCUCAGGAGAUGCGGCAAAGAGCCAGGGUUAGAGGACCAUCAGGCUAUGGUGGACGAUCAUCUUAUUAUGGACGUUCACGCUCCCCUCAUCAUCAUUUAGGUUCUAGGUCUCGGUAUCGCUCAAGAUCAUAUUCUCCUGCCUCAAGGCGGCCGGACUACUCUGCUUCCUCAGGUAGAAGGCAUACAGACCAUCUAAGGUCUCCUGGGAGUCCUCCACCUGAGCGAGAUGCUGAUCACAUUCACAGGUCUUACUCUCCUGGAUAUGGUGUGGAUGAAAAUGGCCAUGGUUAUGGCGAGA